RNAcentral lists this ribosomal RNA (468 nucleotides) under uncultured bacterium. Its description in RNAcentral is "partial 16S ribosomal RNA". It matches the Rfam family "Bacterial small subunit ribosomal RNA", at positions 28 to 507 of the family's 1533-position model. The record is from RNAcentral.
GACGAACGCUGGCGGCGGGCUUAACACAUGCAAGUCGAACGGAAAGGCCCUGAUUUUGUGGGGUGCUCGAGUGGCGAACGGGUGAGGAACACGUGAGUAACCGGCCCUUGACUUUGGGAUGACUUCAGGAAACUGGGGUUAAUACCGGAUAGGAGCCCCCGUUGCAUGGAGGGGGUUGGAAAGUUGCGGCGGUUGGGGAUGGAUGCGCGGCUGAUCAGUUUGUUGGUGGGGGAGUGGAUUACCAAGGCUGUGACGGGUAGCCGGCCUGAGAGGGUGACCGGCCACAUUGGGACUGAGAUACGGCGCAGACUGCUACGGGAGGCAGAAGUGGGGAAUAUUGCACAAUGGGCGGAAGCCUGAUGCAGCAACGCCGCGUGCGGGAUGACGGCCUUCGGGGUGUAAACCGCUUUCGCCUGUGACGAAGCGUGAGUGACGGUAAUGGGUAAAGAAGCACCGGCUAACUACGUG